GCAGCAGUGGGGAAUUUUCCGCAAUGGGCGAAAGCCUGACGGAGCAACGCCGCGUGAGGGAUGAAGGCCUCUGGGCUGUAAACGUCUNUUUAUCAUGGAUGANAGAUCUGACAGUACUUCAUGAAUAUGUCAUGGCUAAUUCUGUGCCAGCAUUCGCGGUAAUGCGUGAGUGACAAGCGUUAUCAGGAAUUAUUGGGCGUAAAUUGUUCGCAAGCGGUACUUAAAUUAUGGUGUCAAAAAGAAGUGCUUAUGUCCAUCAUACCAUUAAAAACUGCAGUGUUUGAGUUCAGUAUGGACAGAANGGAAUUCUCGGUGUCACCGUGAAAGAAGUAGAUAUCGCGAAGAAUUUCCGUGCAAUAAUUGNCUGAUAAGGCUCACCACUGACGUUUAUGGACGAAAGCCAGCACAGAGAAAGCGAUUAGAUAUUCAUGNAANGUCNCCGUCAGNAUCUUGAUGANACAGNUAANAUGUCGUGGGACAUGCGCAUGCGCUCCGGUGUCGUAGACANACGNCGUUAA
Molecule: ribosomal RNA, 518 nt
Filed under: uncultured bacterium
Lineage: Bacteria
Description: partial 16S ribosomal RNA
Rfam family: Bacterial small subunit ribosomal RNA
Source: RNAcentral